This 870-nucleotide ribosomal RNA is filed under the name Capnocytophaga ochracea. RNAcentral's name for it is "bacterial SSU rRNA". It matches the Rfam family "Bacterial small subunit ribosomal RNA". Lineage: Bacteria; Pseudomonadati; Bacteroidota; Flavobacteriia; Flavobacteriales; Flavobacteriaceae. The record is from RNAcentral.
GAUGAACGCUAGCGGCAGGCCUAACACAUGCAAGUCGAGGGGGAGGUUACUUUCGGGUGACUGAGACCGGCGUACGGGUGCGUAACGCGUAUACAAUCUGCCUUUCACUGGGGGAUAGCCCGAAGAAAUUUGGAUUAAUACCCCAUAGUAUAUAGGGACGGCAUCGUUUUUAUAUUAAAGCUACGGUGGUGAAAGAUGAGUAUGCGUUCUAUUAGCUAGUUGGAGAGGUAACGGCUCCCCAAGGCGAUGAUAGAUAGGGGUUCUGAGAGGGAUGUCCCCCACACUGGUACUGAGAUACGGACCAGACUCCUACGGGAGGCAGCAGUGAGGAAUAUUGGACAAUGGUCGGAAGACUGAUCCAGCCAUGCCGCGUGCAGGAUGACGGCCUUAUGGGUUGUAAACUGCUUUUGUAAGGGAAGAAUAAGGGCUACGCGUAGUUUGAUGACGGUACCUUACGAAUAAGCAUCGGCUAACUCCGUGCCAGCAGCCGCGGUAAUACGGAGGAUGCGAGCGUUAUCCGGAAUCAUUGGGUUUAAAGGGUCUGUAGGCGGGCUGGUAAGUCAGAGGUGAAAGCGCUUAGCUCAACUAAGCAACUGCCUUUGAAACUGUUGGUCUUGAAUGGUUGUGAAGUAGUUGGAAUGUGUAGUGUAGCGGUGAAAUGCUUAGAUAUUACACAGAACACCGAUAGCGAAGGCAUAUUACUAACAAUUAAUUGACGCUGAUGGACGAAAGCGUGGGGGAGCGAACAGGAUUAGAUACCCUGGUAGUCCAAGGGCGAAUUCCACAGUGGAUAUCAAGCUUAUCGAUACCGUCGACCUCGAGGGGGGGGCCCGAAUUCUACAAACAUUUUGUUCCCUUUAGUGAGGGUUA